This is a long non-coding RNA of Pogoniulus pusillus (Red-fronted tinkerbird), 2287 nucleotides long. RefSeq lists it as uncharacterized. The record is from RefSeq and is a predicted model, not a curated record. The transcript is spliced from 2 exons. NCBI's taxonomy places the organism in Eukaryota, Metazoa, Chordata, Aves, Piciformes, Lybiidae.
GAAAGGGAAAGAUAAGAAAAGAAAGGAAAAGGUAAAUGAAAAGAUAAAUGAAAAGAAAGGAAAGGAUGAUAAGAAAAGAAGGGGAAAGAUAAGAAAAGAAGGGGAAAGAUAAGAAAAGAAGGGGAAAGAUAAGAAAAGAAGGGGAAAGAUAAGAAAAGAAGGGGAAAGAUAAGAAAAGAAGGGGAAAGAUAAGAAAAGAAGGGGAAAGAUAAGAAAAGAAGGGGAAAGAUAAGAAAAGAAGGGGAAAGAUAAGAAAAGAAGGGGAAAGAUAAGAAAAGAAGGGGAAAGAUAAGAAAAGAAGGGGAAAGAUAAGAAAAGAAGGGGAAAGAUAAGAAAAGAAGGGGAAAGAUAAAUGAAAAGAAGGGAAAAGAUAAAUGAAAAGAAGGGAAAAAAAGAACAACCAACCAAAUGUGUCUAUUUACCCUCUUUUUAAAAAGCAUUAAUAAAAGUUGUUGUUCUGACAGGGUUCUGCACUUCCUUGUCUGCAGAUCCUCCCCCAGCUCCUUUCUUGCCCCUUUCCACCAAAGCUAGGAAGGCUUCGAGAAGAUAUCUCCUGCAGGGAAGGGGGUGGGGAGGAAAGGACGUCUAAAUGAAGCUAUUUAAGGCCUUCCUAAGCUUGUGCAAGUGCUGUGGGUAAAGCAGGGGAAGGUGGCCCUAGGUCCAAUGCCUCAGGGAUGGAAAAAUCCCACAUGGAUGGAUGGAUGGAUGGAUGGAUGGAUGGAUGGAUGCAGGAAGAAGUGGGUGCUUCCCCUCUCAGUGUCCCUCAAUAAGGACGUUAUAGAAUCAACCAGGUUGGAAAAGACCUCCAAGAUUGAACAGAUAGGAAGAUAAUCUCCUUGUUGAGAUGAGAAAUCCCUCUCCUCAUCCCCCCUUCUCCCCAUGGCUUUAUCCCUUUGAAGGGCUUUUCCAGCUCCAGGAGUCAGGUCAUGAUGUACAGGUUGGUGUUUGGAGGUAGAAGUGUCUCAGAAGUGGGCUGAGGAGUGGUGGGUACUGGCAGGGCCCUCUCCAAGCUCAAACCUCCCUAUUGGAAGGAUUAUGAUGAUGAUCAUUAAUGUUGUUGUUAUCAUCACCAUCAAAUCCACCCUCUGCAGCCCCUUGCUGAGUCUGUCUUGAUCUUAAUCCUGCCCAAGAGGUUUUUCCUUCCAUGCUGGUGAGUACUUGGGGUCCAAAGGUGAUGCCCUGGGGAAAGAGAAGGUGCUUGGUGAGCUGGGAUGUCAGGGCUGCCCGCACUGCCUGGCCAGCCAGGAUCUCUCUGGCAGGAUGCUGAUAUUAACAGGCGGUUUCCAUGGUUUCUCCCUGAUCACAGAGGAUGCUUCCUAGGAACAAGAGCAGGCAAGCAGAAAACAAAAGGGAGACGUUGAGGCAUGCAGUGUGGGGUGUCCUCCAGCUUUGUUGUUACGUCAGCUGGUGUUAUCCGUGUCCAAAUGAGCAUCCCUGGAUUUGAGGAGAGGAAAAAUCGAUACACAAAGAUAGUUCCUGAAGUGGAAACCAAGGCAGUGAAGCUGCUCCUCCCACCAGCAUGGACCUCUUCUCUGGAGGACAUUGAUCACCCAGCCUGCAGCAAUGGGUGAUGUCUCCUUGGGACUGAGCAUUUAUUCACACAUGGGGUCAUUUAGGCUGCAAAAGACCUUUAAGGUCAUCAAGUCCAGUCCUUAAGCCAGCAUUGCAAAGUCACCACUAAACCAUGCCCCUCAGCAGCACAGCUACAGAGCUUUUAAACCCCUCCAGGGAUGAGGACUCCACCACUGCCCUGGGCAAGCUGUCCCAGGGCUUGGCAACCGUUUUGAGGAAGAAAUUGUUCCUCACGUCCAACCUCAACCUCCCCUGGCACAAGUUAAGGCAGUUUCCUUGUGUCUUCUCUCUUGUUCCUUGGGAAGAGACUGACCCACACCUCACUCCAGCCUCCUGUCAGUGAGUUAUUGAGAGUGAGAAGGUCUCCCCUGAGCUUCCUUCUCUCCUGCCUGAACAACUCCAGUUCUCUCAGCCUCUCCUUGCAGGACUUGUGCUCUGGACCCUUCACCAGCAUUGCUGCUCCAGCACCUCAAAGUCCUUCUCAUAGAGAGAGGCCCAAAACUGAACUCAGGAUUUGUUGAAGGAUGAAGUUAAGGAGAGGUCUAAUAAGGGGCAGGUGAGUUUUGUGGAAGACCCUCCUUAGCAGCCAGCUCAUCCUUCCCUGGCCCUGAAAUUCCCACCUGGGGGAUAUGGUGGGUACUGGCAGGACCAUCUCCAAGCUCAAACUAUCCUAUUAGAAAGAAGAUGAUGAUAAAGAUGAUUAUCAUUGCUGUUA